CUACGGGGUGCACCAGUGAGGAAUAUUGCACAAUGGGGGGAACCCUGAUGCAGCAACGCCGCGUGGAGGAUGACGCAUUUCGGUGUGUAAACUCCUUUUAUAUGUCAAGAAAAUGACGGUAGCAUAUGAAUAAGCACCGGCUAACUCCGUGCCAGCAGCCGCGGUAAUACGGAGGGUGCAAGCGUUACUCGGAAUCACUUGGCGUAAAGGACGCGUAGGCGGGUUGGAAAGUCAGGUGUGAAAUCCUACAGCUUAACUGUAGAACUGCACUUGAAACUUCUAAUCUAGAGUAUGGGAGGGGGAGAUGGAAUUAGUGGUGUAGGGGUAAAAUCCGUAGAUAUCACUAGGAAUACCUAAAGCGAAGGCGAUCUCCUGGAACAUUACUGACGCUAAGGCGUGAAGGCGUAGGGAGCAAACAGGAUUAGAUACCCCUGUAGUC
Molecule: ribosomal RNA, 439 nt
Filed under: uncultured bacterium
Lineage: Bacteria
Description: partial 16S ribosomal RNA
Rfam family: Bacterial small subunit ribosomal RNA
Source: RNAcentral